RNAcentral lists this ribosomal RNA (725 nucleotides) under uncultured bacterium. Its description in RNAcentral is "bacterial SSU rRNA". It matches the Rfam family "Bacterial small subunit ribosomal RNA", at positions 771 to 1501 of the family's 1533-position model. The record is from RNAcentral.
AACAGGAUUAGAUACCCUGGUAGUCCACGCCCUAAACGAUGUCAACUAGUUGUCGGGUCUUAAUUGACUUGGUAACGCAGCUAACGCGUGAAGUUGACCGCCUGGGGAGUACGGUCGCAAGAUUAAAACUCAAAGGAAUUGACGGGGACCCGCACAAGCGGUGGAUGAUGUGGAUUAAUUCGAUGCAACGCGAAAAACCUUACCUACCCUUGACAUGUACGGAAGCCUCGAGAGAUUGAGGCGUGCUCGAAAGAGAGCCGUAACACAGGUGCUGCAUGGCUGUCGUCAGCUCGUGUCGUGAGAUGUUGGGUUAAGUCCCGCAACGAGCGCAACCCUUGUCAUUAGUUGCUACGAAAGGGCACUCUAAUGAGACUGCCGGUGACAAACCGGAGGAAGGUGGGGAUGACGUCAAGUCCUCAUGGCCCUUAUGGGUAGGGCUUCACACGUCAUACAAUGGUACAUACAGAGGGCCGCCAACCCGCGAGGGGGAGCUAAUCCCAGAAAGUGUAUCGUAGUCCGGAUUGCAGUCUGCAACUCGACUGCAUGAAGUUGGAAUCGCUAGUAAUCGCGGAUCAGCAUGUCGCGGUGAAUACGUUCCCGGGUCUUGUACACACCGCCCGUCACACCAUGGGAGCGGGUUUUACCAGAAGUAGGUAGCUUAACCGCAAGGAGGGCGCUUACCACGGUAGGAUUCGUGACUGGGGUGAAGUCGUAACAAGGUAACC